Molecule: ribosomal RNA, 301 nt
Filed under: uncultured bacterium
Lineage: Bacteria
Description: partial 16S ribosomal RNA
Rfam family: Bacterial small subunit ribosomal RNA
Source: RNAcentral
CAGCAGCCGCGGUAAAACGUAGGUGGCAAGCGUUGUCCGGAAUUAUUGGGCGUAAAGGGCUCGCAGGCGGUUUCUUAAGUCUGAUGUGAAAGCCCCCGGCUCAACCGGGGAGGGUCAUUGGAAACUGGGAAACUUGAGUGCAGAAGAGGAGAGUGGAAUUCCACGUGUAGCGGUGAAAUGCGUAGAGGUGUGGAGGAACACCAGUGGCGAAGGCGACUCUCUGGUCUGUAACUGACGCUGAGGAGCGAAAGCGUGGGGAGCAAACAGGAUUAGAGACCCGCGUAGUCCCUGUCUCUUAUAC